Molecule: long non-coding RNA, 1950 nt
Organism: Melospiza georgiana
Lineage: Eukaryota; Metazoa; Chordata; Aves; Passeriformes; Passerellidae
Exons: 9
Source: RefSeq, a predicted model, not a curated record
ACUGCAUCUUUCAAAAGAUGUUAAGUAUUCAUCAUGAAGUCUCUCUGUACAGAAUAUACCAAGUUCUCUUGCAGUGUAAUGAUAAAGUGGUCUAAGCUUUCCACUCUUGCUGUAGAUAAUGUAUGUCUUGGGAUCUUCUGUUACUGUGUAAAUAUUUUGCACUUUUGAAAUAAGGGUCAGUCCUGUGCUGCUGCCUGGUGAAAGAUGCCUCUUACAGAGAGGUUCUUGAAUUCCAGCUCCCAGGCUGGCCCUGGCAUUAAAGUGGAAUGCACCCUGCUGCUUUACAGAUUAGUUGGCCCCAGCUGAAGCACUUGGAGAAUAAAGUACACACCGGUGUGACAGAGGAUCACAAAACUGAGCUCUUUACUCCUCUUUCCCUCAUUAAGCCAGGGUACAGAAGAAGGAUUUGCUAAUGCUUGGCUCCCACCUGUGCUCUGCAGUGAGACGUGGCAAAGCCCAAUCCUCAAGCCUCCUUCCUGAGAUCAGAGAAACAGGAUUUUAUUGAAAACUCCUGGAGAGCAUCCUUCUGUCACUUCCAUUUCAAGUUCCAUUGUGCUUCAACUUUUGGAAGGUCUUAUCCCUCUGCCCAGGGGCAACCAGCCUGAGAUGGGAUCCUCAGGAUUAUCUCUGUGAAACACAGCAGAAGGAUCCUAAUGGCUCAUUCAAUGUGGUUUCAUUUAAAGAAUUUCUACAUGUCCUAAUUUUUGGUCAGUGUGCACUUUUCUUCUGUGCUGGAUAAGAAUUGUUUCAUUUGCACCAUUUGCAAAACUCAUCAGGCCCAGAAGGGGCAAAUUUUAUCACAGAAGUUUGAUAAGUGCAUCUGAAUCCGUGUUUCUAUGCAGAAAAGCCAGACAUUUUACAAUUCCUUGGGAUUCAGGCAGUGAUUAUUGCUUAUGACACCAUCUCUUUGAAGAGUAUAUUGUACAGUAAUGCAAUAGUGCUCCACUUCAGGAACACAGGACAUUUAAGGAAAAUUCACAGGAGUUGAAUGUUCUGUAAAAUUUCUUAGUAAACUCUAUUUAUGUGGCUCCAAAAUAGGACUCCUUGACCUGCAUCACUUCCUCAUGACUAAGUGACACUGUGCCACAGAAUGCACAUAUGAAAGGAUUUGUUCUUAGCCAGAUCCUCCUCUGCUUGUCCACUGCUCCCCUUGUAGAUUUUCUUGUCUCUAAAAAGGGGUAGCAAGUCUAAUAAGUUCACACUUCAGCCUUGACACAACUCAACAGAAAUCUUUGUUCACCACAAGGUGCAGAAUAAUUGAACUCAGGCUUCCUGGCAUCUGACUAGAGUCAUGGAGUAUUCAGAAUGUCUCAGCAAAUUUGAUGGUUUUGGUUCUUCACUAACUAAACCCUUUACUUUAUAUGUAUUAAGUCAAAAUGUAAAAAAAUCCCAAUCCAAUCAACCACCAACAAAAAAAACCCCAAAAAAUCCAUUAAAAAAAACUCAAGCAAAAUCUCCAAAUCUUUAAUUUGUAGGUGGUAGCAUUCAUAUUGCUUUGAAAAAUCUCUUAAUAGCAUCAGGCAAUCCAACUCCUCCAGUUUUUGUGAGAAAAAAGAAUAGAAUAUUUAACAUAUUUAAAUUUAAUAUAAUAGAAAAUUUGCCUUGUCUUGCCUCAUUGUUUUUUGGUUGGCUGGUUGGUUUUGUCUUGGCCUUUCUGUGUUCAUCGUAUUUUCCUCCUUAAUCCUCCUUAGAUUUAGGAUUAGAACUCAAUCCCCACACUAGGUUCAGAAGUUUGCUGAAUUAAUCUGUUGUUGCUUGAAUCCCUGAAGUGGGUUCUAUUUUAUUAUGGAAUGCUUAGGAAUUACUGAAACUUCAGUGGAGACUGUUAAUGAGAAGCUGGAAGUCCAAUGAUUAAUUAAUAUAUUGUAGUCUCUUUUACUUGGUUUUAAUUCUGUACCAUUGCCUGGAGGGACAUAUCUCUUAGGUUGUCUGGCAGCAGCAGCCUCAUUA